This 910-nucleotide ribosomal RNA is filed under the name Mucilaginibacter sp. Its description in RNAcentral is "bacterial SSU rRNA". It matches the Rfam family "Bacterial small subunit ribosomal RNA", at positions 89 to 1004 of the family's 1533-position model. Lineage: Bacteria; Pseudomonadati; Bacteroidota; Sphingobacteriia; Sphingobacteriales; Sphingobacteriaceae. The record is from RNAcentral.
AUGAGAGUGGCGCACGGGUGCGUAACACGUAUGUAACCUACCUUAGUCAGGGGGAUAGCCUCUCGAAAGAGAGAUUAAGACCGCAUAACAUAUUGAAGUGGCAUCGCUUUAAUAUCAAAUAUUUAUAGGACUAAGAUGGGCAUGCGCAACAUUAGCUAGUUGGUGUGGUAACGGCAUACCAAGGCGACGAUGUUUAGGGGAUCUGAGAGGAUGACCCCCCACACUGGUACUGAGACACGGACCAGACUCCUACGGGAGGCAGCAGUAAGGAAUAUUGGUCAAUGGACGGAAGUCUGAACCAGCCAUGCCGCGUGCAGGAAGACGGCCCUACGGGUUGUAAACUGCUUUUGCAGGGGAAUAAACCUCGAUACGUGUAUCGAGUUGAAUGUACCUUGAGAAUAAGGAUCGGCUAACUCCGUGCCAGCAGCCGCGGUAAUACGGAGGAUCCAAGCGUUAUCCGGAUUUAUUGGGUUUAAAGGGUGCGUAGGCGGCUUUUUAAGUCAGGGGUGAAAGACGGUAGCUCAACUAUCGCAGUGCCCUUGAUACUGAAGAGCUUGAAUGUACUUGAGGUAGGCGGAAUGUGACAAGUAGCGGUGAAAUGCAUAGAUAUGUCACAGAACACCAAUUGCGAAGGCAGCUUACUAAAGUAUGAUUGACGCUGAGGCACGAAAGCGUGGGGAUCAAACAGGAUUAGAUACCCUGGUAGUCCACGCCCUAAACGAUGAACACUCGAUGUUGGCGAUAUACGGUCAGCGUCUAAGCGAAAGCGUUAAGUGUUCCACCUGGGGAGUACGCCCGCAAGGGUGAAACUCAAAGGAAUUGACGGGGGCCCGCACAAGCGGAGAGCAUGUGGUUUAAUUCGAUGAUACGCGAGAACUUACCCGGGCUUGAAAGUAGUGAAUGUGACAGA